AUGAACGCUGGCGGCGUGCCUAAUACAUGCAAGUCGAGCGAACAGACGAGGAGCUUGCUCCUCUGACGUUAGCGGCGGACGGGUGAGUAACACGUGGAUAACCUACCUAUAAGACUGGGAUAACUUCGGGAAACCGGAGCUAAUACCGGAUAAUAUAUUGAACCGCAUGGUUCAAUAGUGAAAGACGGUUUUGCUGUCACUUAUAGAUGGAUCCGCGCCGCAUUAGCUAGUUGGUAAGGUAACGGCUUACCAAGGCAACGAUGCGUAGCCGACCUGAGAGGGUGAUCGGCCACACUGGAACUGAGACACGGUCCAGACUCCUACGGGAGGCAGCAGUAGGGAAUCUUCCGCAAUGGGCGAAAGCCUGCCGGAGCAACGCCGCGUGAGUGAUGAAGGUCUUCGGAUCGUAAAACUCUGUUAUUAGGGAAGAACAAAUGUGUAAGUAACUAUGCACGUCUUGACGGUACCUAAUCAGAAAGCCACGGCUAACUACGUG
RNAcentral lists this ribosomal RNA (496 nucleotides) under uncultured bacterium. RNAcentral describes it as "partial 16S ribosomal RNA". It matches the Rfam family "Bacterial small subunit ribosomal RNA", at positions 29 to 507 of the family's 1533-position model. The record is from RNAcentral.